AGUGAACGCUGGCGGUAGGCCUAACACAUGCAAGUCGAACGGCAGCACAGUAAGAGCUUGCUCUUACGGGUGGCGAGUGGCGGACGGGUGAGGAAUACAUCGGAAUCUACUUUUUCGUGGGGGAUAACGUAGGGAAACUUACGCUAAUACCGCAUACGACCUACGGGUGAAAGCAGGGGAUCUUCGGACCUUGCGCGAUUGAAUGAGCCGAUGUCGGAUUAGCUAGUUGGCGGGGUAAAGGCCCACCAAGGCGACGAUCCGUAGCUGGUCUGAGAGGAUGAUCGGCCGCACUGGAACUGGGACACGGUCCAGGCUCCUACGGGAGGCAGCAGUGGGGAAUAUUGGGCAACGGGCGCAAGCCUGGUCCAGCCAUACCGCGUGGGUGAAAGAGGCCUUCGGGUUGUAAAGCCCUUUUGUUGGGAAAGAAAAGCAGCAGGUUAAUACCCCGCUGUUCUGACGGUACCCAAAGAAUAAGCACCGGCUAACUUCGUG
Molecule: ribosomal RNA, 492 nt
Filed under: uncultured bacterium
Lineage: Bacteria
Description: partial 16S ribosomal RNA
Rfam family: Bacterial small subunit ribosomal RNA
Source: RNAcentral